Molecule: ribosomal RNA, 1336 nt
Filed under: uncultured rumen bacterium
Lineage: Bacteria
Description: bacterial SSU rRNA
Rfam family: Bacterial small subunit ribosomal RNA
Source: RNAcentral
CAGGCCUAACACAUGCAAGUCGAGGGGCAGCGCGGGGUAGCAAUACUCUGGCGGCGACCGGCGAAAGGGUGAGUAACGCGUGAGCAACGUGCCCGUAUGUGGGGGAUAGUCGAUGGAAACGUCGCGUAAUACCCCGUAACACACGGUCUCGCAUGGGACCGUGUUGAAAGAUUGAUUGCAUACGGAUCGGCUCGCGUGCCAUUAGGUAGACGGCGGGGUAACGGCCCACCGUGCCGACGAUGGCUAGGGGUUCUGAGAGGAAGGUCCCCCACAUUGGAACUGAGACACGGUCCAGACUCCUACGGGAGGCAGCAGUGAGGAAUAUUGGACAAUGGCCGGAAGGCUGAUCCAGCCAUGCCGCGUGCGGGAAGGCGGCCCUAUGGGUUGUAAACCGCUUUUGCGGGGGAGCAAUAAGGUGCACGCGUGCACCGAUGAGAGUACCCUGCGAAUAAGCAUCGGCUAACUCCGUGCCAGCAGCCGCGGUAAUACGGAAGGUCCGGGCGUUAUCCGGAUUUAUUGGGUUUAAAGGGAGCGCAGGCUGCCUGUCAAGCGUGACGUGAAAUGCCGCGGCUCAACCGUGGAAGUGCGUCGCGAACUGGCGGGCUUGAGUGUGCACGAGGAAGGCGGAAUUCGUGGUGUAGCGGUGAAAUGCUUAGAUAUCACGAAGAACUCCGAUUGCGAAGGCAGCCUUCCAGGGCAUUACUGACGCUAAGGCUCGAAGGUGCGGGUAUCGAACAGGAUUAGAUACCCUGGUAGUCCGCACGGUAAACGAUGGAUGCCCGCUGUUGGCGAUAUAUUGUCAGCGGCCAAGCGAAAGCGUUAAGCAUCCCACCUGGGGAGUACGCCGGCAACGGUGAAACUCAAAGGAAUUGACGGGGGCCCGCACAAGCGGAGGAACAUGUGGUUUAAUUCGAUGAUACGCGAGGAACCUUACCCGGGCUUGAACUGCAGCAGACGGAUCUAGAGAUAGUGACUCCCUUCGGGGCUGCUGUGGAGGUGCUGCAUGGUUGUCGUCAGCUCGUGCCGUGAGGUGUCGGCUUAAGUGCCAUAACGAGCGCAACCCUUUUCAUUAGUUGCCAUCAGGUAAUGCUGGGCACUCUGGUGAUACUGCCACCGUAAGGUGUGAGGAAGGUGGGGAUGACGUCAAAUCAGCACGGCCCUUACGUCCGGGGCUACACACGUGUUACAAUGGGUGGUACAGAGAGUCGGGUGUAUGCAAAUACAUUCUAAUCAAGAAAGCCAUCCUCAGUUCGGAUUGGGGUCUGCAACCCGACCCCAUGAAGCUGGAUUCGCUAGUAAUCGCGCAUCAGCCAUGGCGCGGUGAAUACGUUCCCSG